CAAACUAAUGAGCAGCCUGUUCCCAAAGAUAAGAGCCAUGGGUGUCUUUAGCCUCCGUGUGUCUUGAAGGCUUUAUUUUUAUUUAUGUGUAUUGUGUGCACAAAAGUGCAGUUGCCCAAGGAAGCUAGACGAGAAUGUUGGGUCCUUCUGGAGUUCCAGGAACUUGUGAACAGACAUAGGUGUUGGGACCUGAGCUCUUGUCCUCUGCAAGAGCAGCAAGUGUUCUUACCUACUGAGCCAUCUCGACCAUGCCCAACAUGGUGAGAAGUCUUGUUUUUAGAAAUAACCACACCAUCACUGCUGUUUUAGCUCGGGAGUCCUUGGUUCAGUCUCUGAAGAUGGUGGCCCUUUGGUUUUUAUUGGUCAAGCUAAUGAAUGCACAGUUCAACUUCAUUCUUCAGCUUGAAGCAUCUAGACUGGAACCCAGCCAUAACCCUCUUCCGCUUACACUAGAGCUUGGCUGCCUGGGUCCCAGAGACAAUGACAUGGAAAGGCUCCAGCUUGCCUGUGUGCUCUUCUGUCCUUACAUAUAAAUAGCUUUUAGAAAUGUAGAUUAUUCUUUUGAAACCCAUGGUAACAAUGUGAGGAUGUCUGCAUUUUGAUUUGAAUAGCAAAGGAAUGUUCAAGUCCAAAAUCUAAAAAGCUACUCAUAGUUUUCUAUUGCUUAAUGAAGCAUUGGACUUUUUUUUAAGUGUGUAUUACAUUUAUUUUUGUGUGCUGCUGGGGGCAUGUGCUACUUCACAUGUCUGAAGAUCAAAGGACAACAUUCAGGAGUCAGCCUUCCUACCUGGUGGGGCCCAGAGAUUGAAAUCAGGUCAUCAGACUUGGCACCUUUACCCAUUGGACCAUCUGUCUAGCCUGGGUGACAUUUUUAAAA
RNAcentral lists this long non-coding RNA (877 nucleotides) under Rattus norvegicus (Norway rat). RNAcentral's name for it is "long non-coding RNA NONRATT028666". The record is from RNAcentral. Lineage: Eukaryota; Metazoa; Chordata; Mammalia; Rodentia; Muridae.